RNAcentral lists this ribosomal RNA (1422 nucleotides) under Microbacterium testaceum. RNAcentral's name for it is "bacterial SSU rRNA". It matches the Rfam family "Bacterial small subunit ribosomal RNA". The record is from RNAcentral. Lineage: Bacteria; Bacillati; Actinomycetota; Actinomycetes; Micrococcales; Microbacteriaceae.
GCAGCUACCAUGCAGUCGACGGUGAAGCCAAGCUUGCUUGGUGGAUCAGUGGCGAACGGGUGAGUAACACGUGAGCAACCUGCCCUGGACUCUGGGAUAAGCGCUGGAAACGGCGUCUAAUACUGGAUAUGAGACGUGAUCGCAUGGUCGUGUUUGGAAAGAUUUUUCGGUCUGGGAUGGGCUCGCGGCCUAUCAGCUUGUUGGUGAGGUAAUGGCUCACCAAGGCGUCGACGGGUAGCCGGCCUGAGAGGGUGACCGGCCACACUGGGACUGAGACACGGCCCAGACUCCNUACGGGAGGCAGCAGUGGGGAAUAUUGCACAAUGGGCGGAAGCCUGAUGCAGCAACGCCGCGUGAGGGAUGACGGCCUUCGGGUUGUAAACCUCUUUUAGCAGGGAAGAAGCGAAAGUGACGGUACCUGCAGAAAAAGCGCCGGCUAACUACGUGCCAGCAGCCGCGGUAAUACGUAGGGCGCAAGCGUUAUCCGGAAAUUAUUGGGCGUAAAGAGCUCGUAGGCGGUUUGUCGCGUCUGCUGUGAAAUCCCGAGGCUCAACCUCGGGCCUGCAGUGGGUACGGGCAGACUAGAGUGCGGUAGGGGAGAUUGGAAUUCCUGGUGUAGCGGUGGAAUGCGCAGAUAUCAGGAGGAACACCGAUGGCGAAGGCAGAUCUCUGGGCCGUAACUGACGCUGAGGAGCGAAAGGGUGGGGAGCAAACAGGCUUAGAUACCCUGGUAGUCCACCCCGUAAACGUUGGGAACUAGUUGUGGGGACCAUUCCACGGUUUCCGUGACGCAGCUAACGCAUUAAGUUCCCCGCCUGGGGAGUACGGCCGCAAGGCUAAAACUCAAAGGAAUUGACGGGGACCCGCACAAGCGGCGGAGCAUGCGGAUUAAUUCGAUGCAACGCGAAGAACCUUACCAAGGCUUGACAUAUACGAGAACGGGCCAGAAAUGGUCAACUCUUUGGACACUCGUAAACAGGUGGUGCAUGGUUGUCGUCAGCUCGUGUCGUGAGAUGUUGGGUUAAGUCCCCGCAACGAGCGCAACCCUCGUUCUAUGUUGCCAGCACGUAAUGGUGGGAACUCAUGGGAUACUGCCGGGGUCAACUCGGAGGAAGGNNUGGGGAUGACGUCAAAUCAUCAUGCCCCUUAUGUCUUGGGCUUCACGCAUGCUACAAUGGCCGGUNACAAAGGGCUGCAANUACCGUNNNNGAGGUGGGAGCGAAUCCCAAAAAGCCGGUCCCAGUUCGGAUUGAGGUCUGCAACUCGACCUCAUGAAGUCGGAGUCGCUAGUAAUCGCAGAUCAGCAACGCUGCGGUGAAUACGUUCCCGGGUCUUGUACACACCGCCCGUCAAGUCAUGAAAGUCGGUAACACCUGAAGCCGGUGGCCCAACCCUUGUGGAGGAGCCGUCGAANGUGAUCCG